ACUACGGGAGGCUGCAGUGGGGAAUAUUGCACAAUGGGGGAAACCCUGAUGCAGCGACGCCGCGUGAGUGAAGAAGUAUUUCGGUAUGUAAAGCUCUAUCAGCAGGGAAGAAGCAAGACGGUACCUGACUAAGAAGCCCCGGCUAACUACGUGCCAGCAGCCGCGGUAAUACGGAGGGGGCAAGCGUUAUCCGGAGUUACGGGGUGUAAAGGGAGCGUAGACGGUUUGGGAAGUCUGAAGUGAAAUCCCAGGGCUUAACCCUUGGACUGAUUUGGAAACUGUUAGACUAGAGUGCUGGAGAGGUAAGUGGAAUUCGUGGUGUAGCGGUGAAAUGCGUAGAUAUUAGGAGGAACACCGGUGGCGAAGGCAGCUUACUGGACAGUAACUGACGUUGAGGCUCGAAAGUGUGGGGAUCAAACAGGAUUAGAUACCCCAGUAGUC
Molecule: ribosomal RNA, 441 nt
Filed under: uncultured bacterium
Lineage: Bacteria
Description: partial 16S ribosomal RNA
Rfam family: Bacterial small subunit ribosomal RNA
Source: RNAcentral